AUUACAAAGUCAAAAGAUCUAGACAAAAUCCAUCCGGUCCCAGUUACUCGCACAUGCUUACAUCUCCUGUAACAAAAACAAAACUAAUAGAAUGAGUCAUAACUCAGUGAGCUUCAAAAUAAAAUAUGCAAACAAAGUAUCAAUCCCAAAGCAAGUAAUAAAGCGAUGACUAAACAAAUCAAUAAUAGGUAAGCAGGAACAAGUAGCACAUUCAGAUGGAAGGAUACUUUUCUCCCACAUUGGCCACUUAACUCGUAACCGUUGACACUCCGUCAACCUUGGAAUACACUAUCAAGUCCAGUAGAUCACCACUUCACACUAUCUCCGACCAUCGAUCAUCUCCCUUACAGGGCAUGCACGCCAAUCAAGUACAAAUGGCGUAAUACUCGAGUAUACCAAGGCUAAUAACAAGAUACAAGAUCCAUGGUUCAUCGAUCCUCGAUCAAACCCUUGCUGGCUCGAUUUGACCAACUAGCCGAUAGGGAUGGGAUCCCAAAGCAAGUAUAGUCGGUGAGAUGACAACUCCAAUCGAAUUUCAAGUCAUGCACAAAUAUAACGGUUCACAAGUAAACAAGUCGACAAGAAUUCAAGCAAGUUAGGUCCAGUGCAAUAAAGUACAUACUCGCCUUUUCAAUAUCAAAUCAAGAUAUGUAGUAAAAAGUCACAUAGUCCAAAUCAUGCAGUUGAAUACUCACCAAAUGAAUUACUGCUUGUCAACGUCAAGCUCAAACCCUAUACCCUGGUCACUCUCGAUAUCUAUGAGUAAUAUUAUAUAGCAAGUUGCAAUCAAACAACAUUUCAAAAUGCCCAACUUUUCUUGUCAAUAUCAAAGGAAAAUUCAUGUAAAUGUAACCCAUAAGGCUUAGCAAGACAUAUGUGAGGUAUGCUCACAACUUUGGAAGAAAAGCAAUUAGAACUUUCAAAUUUAAAACCGGAUAUAAGCUUAUAGAAAAACUUGCUUGAAGUAAUUAUUACUUCCCUCCUUGUGAAAAUGCAUGAUUUUGGCACAAAAAUCCAGCUUAUGACACAAACAAGGCGGAUUCAAACAACUUUAAGCAAGGCGAGUCCAAACCAUCCUAAAUUCACACCACAACCCUCAUUUUUACUCACCUACGCUACAAGAAGGAAAACGGGCAGCAUCUCCCCUGUUUUGCCUUAACUUUUCCAUCCAAUUUCAAAGCCAAAUUUCAUAGCACAACUACCCAGUCCACAAGUUGUAAGGUAAAAGGGGUUCUUAUACUAGGCCACAAAACUAACUACUUUAGGCAUAUCCUUGGCACAUAUUCAUCAUAUACUCAAGCUGAAAAAUUAAACCCUAGGCUGGAAAUUUACAACCAAAGCUGAAAGAUCCUAUUUUGAAGCUAAAAUUUCAUACUAAAGUUAGAAAUUCCCAUGUUAAGACUAAAAGGGUAUAUCAAAGCUGAAAGUAGCAUCCCAAAGCUUGAAAUUACAUAGCAAAGCUGGAAAAUAACAAACUACUACACAAAACUACAAAAUCUUCCAUACCACAUACUACAAACAAGCCAUAAUCUCAUUCAAAUGCAAGAUUAAAGAGAAAGAGUAGUUCCUUGCCAAGAGUACCUUCAAACCUUAAGAUGAAUAGCAAAAUACAGCUUUCUUUUCCCAAAAAACACUCCACACCAAGGUCCUUCCUUCCUUGUUGCAACCUCCUAUGGAUUGGUUUAGGGUUUGAGGUUGAUUUUCCCACAAAAUCAAAUUAGGAAUCAAAAUGAAAUUUGAAGGAGUUUUUUCUCUUUUCUCUCUUCUCUCUCUUGGCCAAGAAGGAAAACAAAUGAAGAGAGUUUUGUUCCACUAGAUGAUAAAGAUGGAAGAAAGGU
Molecule: long non-coding RNA, 1838 nt
Filed under: Coffea arabica (coffee)
Lineage: Eukaryota; Viridiplantae; Streptophyta; Magnoliopsida; Gentianales; Rubiaceae
Description: long non-coding RNA (CARA_LNC004687)
Source: RNAcentral